This 379-nucleotide ribosomal RNA is filed under the name uncultured eukaryote. RNAcentral describes it as "partial 18S ribosomal RNA". It matches the Rfam family "Eukaryotic small subunit ribosomal RNA", at positions 592 to 976 of the family's 1831-position model. The record is from RNAcentral.
CAAUAGCGUAUAUUUAAGUUGUUGCAGUUAAAAAGCUCGUAGUUGGAUUUCGGAUGGGAUCUGCCGGUCCGUCGUUACGAUGUGCACUGGCCAGUCCUAUCUUGUUGUCGGGGACUAGCUCCUUGGAUUCACUUCCUGGGACUAGGAGCUGACGAGGUUACUUUGAGUAAAUUAGAGUGUUCAAAGCAAGCCUACGCUCUGAAUACAUUAGCAUGGAAUAACACGAUAGGACUCUGGCUUAUCUUGUUGGUCUGUGAGACCAGAGUAAUGAUUAAGAGGGACAGUCGGGGACAUUCGUAUUUCAUUGUCAGAGGUGAAAUUCUUGGAUUUAUGAAAGACGAACUUCUGCGAAAGCAUUUGUCAAGGAUGUUUUCAUUAA